This 327-nucleotide ribosomal RNA is filed under the name uncultured soil bacterium. Its description in RNAcentral is "bacterial SSU rRNA". It matches the Rfam family "Bacterial small subunit ribosomal RNA", at positions 26 to 355 of the family's 1533-position model. The record is from RNAcentral.
AGGAUAAACGCUGGCGGCGUGCAUGAGACAUGCAAGUCGAACGGACUUUCUCGGGCUUGCUCGAGAAAGUUAGUGGCGGACGGCUGAGUAACGCGUAGGUGACCUGUCCCGAAGUGGGGAAUAACUGCCCGAAAGGGUGGCUAAUACCGCAUGUGAUCGCUCAUUCGGUUGGGUGAUCAAAGCAGUAAUGCGCUUUGGGAGGGCCUGCGUCCGAUUAGCUCGUUGGUGGGUAAUGGCUCACCAAGGCGACGAUCGGUAGGUGGUCUGAGAGGACGAUCACCCAGACUGGGACUGAGACACGGCCCAGACUCCUACGGGAGCAGCAGU